This 605-nucleotide unclassified non-coding RNA is filed under the name Aspergillus stramenius. RNAcentral describes it as "sequence contains 18S rRNA gene, ITS1, 5.8S rRNA gene, ITS2, 28S rRNA gene". The stretch from base 233 to 386 matches the Rfam family "5.8S ribosomal RNA". Lineage: Eukaryota; Fungi; Ascomycota; Eurotiomycetes; Eurotiales; Aspergillaceae. The record is from RNAcentral.
AGUCGUAACAAGGUUUCCGUAGGUGAACCUGCGGAAGGAUCAUUACCGAGUGCUGGGCCCUCUGGGUCCAACCUCCCACCCGUGUCUAUUGUACCUUGUUGCUUCGGCGGGCCCGCCGUUUCGACGGCCGCCGGGGAGGCCUCGCGCCCCCGGGCCCGCGCCCGCCGAAGACCCCAACAUGAACGCUGUUCUGAAAGUAUGCAGUCUGAGUUUGAUUACCAUAAUCAGUUAAAACUUUCAACAACGGAUCUCUUGGUUCCGGCAUCGAUGAAGAACGCAGCGAAAUGCGAUAAGUAAUGUGAAUUGCAGAAUUCAGUGAAUCAUCGAGUCUUUGAACGCACAUUGCGCCCCCUGGUAUUCCGGGGGGCAUGCCUGUCCGAGCGUCAUUGCUGCCCUCAAGCACGGCUUGUGUGUUGGGCCCCCGUCCCCGGUUUCCCCCGGGGACGGGCCCGAAAGGCAGCGGCGGCACCGCGUCCGGUCCUCGAGCGUAUGGGGCUUUGUCACCCGCUCUGUAGGCCCGGCCGGCGCCAGCCGACACCCCCAACUUUAUUUUCUAAGGUUGACCUCGGAUCAGGUAGGGAUACCCGCUGAACCUAAGCAUAUCA